ACGGAAGGCAGCAGUGGGGAAUAUUGCACAAUGGGGGAAACCCUGAUGCAGCGACGCCGCGUGAGCGAAGAAGUAUUUCGGUAUGUAAAGCUCUAUCAGCAGGAAAGAAAAUGAUGGUACCUGACUAAGAAGCCCCGGCUAACUACGUGCCAGCAGCCGCGGUAAUACGUAGGGGGCAAGCGUUAUCCGGAUUUACUGGGUGUAAAGGGAGCGUAGACGGCUUUGCAAGUCUGAAGUGAAAGCCCGGGGCUCAACCCCGGAACUGCUUUGGAAACUGUAGAGCUAGAGUGCAGGAGAGGUAAGUGGAAUUCCUAGUGUAGCGGUGAAAUGCGUAGAUAUUAGGAGGAACACCAGUGGCGAAGGCGGCUUACUGGACUGUAACUGACGUUGAGGCUCGAAGGCGUGGGGAGCAAACAGAAUUAGAUACCCUGGUA
Molecule: ribosomal RNA, 434 nt
Filed under: uncultured Clostridium sp.
Lineage: Bacteria; Bacillati; Bacillota; Clostridia; Eubacteriales; Clostridiaceae
Description: partial 16S ribosomal RNA
Rfam family: Bacterial small subunit ribosomal RNA
Source: RNAcentral